UGUUUAUUGUAGGACACAAGAGAAUGAAAUUUGAGAAAUGAAAUGGAAGAAAGUUUAUAUAAAGAUUAUGUAUCUAUAUGUAUAUGUAUAUGUACCUGGGAAAAGGACUGUUUUUCACAGCUUUUUGGCCAUAUUUACGCCACCUAUAGCCAUCAUCUAGGUGAUCAACUUCACUCUUUGUCAUGAAAGCAAACCUGGGUUCUCUUUCCUUUUUUUGGUUCUUUUUCUUUGGUUUCAAUCUGUAAUAAGAUUUUUAUACAAAAUCACCAUUAGUUAGUAUAAUUAUGGUUCUCUUUUUUUAAUAAUGACACAUAAAAAAAUGAAAAAUAUUUUUGUAAUAUAUAUUGUGAUUUUUUUACUUUUUACAAGAUUUUUAGUUAGCUAAAACCCUUAAUUCUAUUUUAUUUAAUAAUUUCUAGACUAAUAAAAAUGAUAAAGUGAUUAAAGGAAGAAAUAAAAACAGAGACAAAUGAUGAGAAUAGCAACGACAAGAACAGAAGGAUAUUUUAAGUUCAAUGAAUAGAAACAGAAACUGUUUCAUGUUUCAUUAAAAUAUCUCCACUCAUCACGCGUUUUCUUAAUUGUCACAAAAAUAAAUAAAAAAGAGAAAAAAAUAAAUAGAAGUUUUUAAUUAUUGAUUAAUGGUAAUACUCACUGUUUCUUAGUCUUGUCUUGAUCUUGGUCAUCUCCUUCUAACUCUGCUUCGAUUUUUGAAAGUUUACUUCUAUGCUGUUCUAAGGUGUUGUUAACUGUGGCUUCAUUAGACGACGAAGAUAUCGAAGAAGAAUUCGGUGACACCGGAGUGUUAAACACCUCGGAUGAGUCCGGGAUGUUAGAACUCCCGGGUGACGGAAGAGUGUGAUGGGUUGUUGUUGUUGUGGCGACGGUGGGAACCCAAUCCGAUAAUAAAAAAGUGUUGUUGUUGUUGUUGAUGUAAUCAUGGGAACCCAACAAGUCCAUGAAACCAAAAGAAGAAGAUUUUUGGUCACAAGAGGAAGAUGGUAUGGUAUCAAAGAAGGUAGAGAUUGAAGGUUGAAAAGGGAAUAAAGAUGUGUUGUUGUUGUUGAUGGUGGUGGUGGUUGUUGGAAUCUCAUCGGAGAAUGCCAUGGUGGUGGUGGUGGUGGUGGUGGAUGAUGAGUUGGUGGGGUUUGUGUGCUCCUCUCUCUUCUCCUCCUCCAUUGAUUUUUAUGCUGUUAUGUAUCAAUACAAAGCAUGGCACAUAUUCCUUUUUUUAUUUUUAUUUUAUUUUUGCUUUUUAUUUUUGUUGAGAGAUCUUCCUUUUUUUUUUAUCAAAACUUGAAAAGGGAAAUGUGCCAAUUAAUAUUUCAACUAUUAUUUUGAAAGAUAUAGAAAGAGGAGAGAGAAAAAGUAUGAAAGGG
Molecule: long non-coding RNA, 1379 nt
Filed under: Medicago truncatula (barrel medic)
Lineage: Eukaryota; Viridiplantae; Streptophyta; Magnoliopsida; Fabales; Fabaceae
Description: lncRNA gene8819
Source: RNAcentral